Long non-coding RNA from Glycine soja, 171 nucleotides. RefSeq lists it as uncharacterized. The record is from RefSeq and is a predicted model, not a curated record. Lineage: Eukaryota; Viridiplantae; Streptophyta; Magnoliopsida; Fabales; Fabaceae. The transcript has 3 exons.
GUUGAAGCUUUCAAAAAGUGAAGAAACUCUAUCAUGAAAGUGCAUUGCUUUUAAGGAGCCUUGUGAAGUUGCUUGCUAUAGUUGUGUCGAAGACGGAGAAGUAUACUUUGACAAUCGUAGUUUGAGUUUUUAAGCGCCAUAUUACUGAGGAUGUUGGAGCUGAUUUGAAUG